RNAcentral lists this microRNA precursor (189 nucleotides) under Oryza brachyantha (malo sina). RNAcentral's name for it is "MIR812 microRNA precursor family". It matches the Rfam family "MIR812 microRNA precursor family". Lineage: Eukaryota; Viridiplantae; Streptophyta; Magnoliopsida; Poales; Poaceae. The record is from Rfam by way of RNAcentral.
AACAAAUCAACUUUUCAGUUUUUAGAUAUAAUGUUUAACUCUUCGUCUUAUUUAAAAAAAUUUUACGAUUAAUAAUUUUAUUUUUAUUAGAUGAUAAAACAUAAAUAGUACUUUAUGUGUGACUAAUUCUUUUAAAAAUUUAAAUAUUUUUUAAAUAAGACGGAUAAUUAAAUGUUUGACACACCAAUC